AUUGAACGCUGGCGGCAUGCCUUACACAUGCAAGUCGAACGGCAGCGGGGGAGAAGCUUGCUUUUCCUGCCGGCGAGUGGCGAACGGGUGAGUAAUACAUCGGAACGUGCCCUGUAGUGGGGGAUAACUAGUCGAAAGAUUAGCUAAUACCGCAUAGGACCUGAGGGUGAAAGUGGGGGACCGCAAGGCCUCAUGCUAUAGGAGCGGCCGAUGUCUGAUUAGCUAGUUGGUGGGGUAAAGGCCUAACAAGGCGACGAUCAGUAGCUGGUCUGAGAGGACGAUCAGCCACACUGGGACUGAGACACGGCCCAGACUCCUACGGGAGGCAGCAGUGGGGAAUUUUGGACAAUGGGCGAAAGCCUGAUCCAGCAAUGCCGCGUGUGUGAAGAAGGCCUUCGGGUUGUAAAGCACUUUUGUCCGGAAAGAAAUGGCUCUGGUUAAUACCUGGGGUCGAUGACGGUACCGGAAGAAUAAGGACCGGCUAACUACGUGCCAGCCGCCGCAGUAA
RNAcentral lists this ribosomal RNA (508 nucleotides) under uncultured bacterium. RNAcentral's name for it is "partial 16S ribosomal RNA". It matches the Rfam family "Bacterial small subunit ribosomal RNA", at positions 30 to 523 of the family's 1533-position model. The record is from RNAcentral.